UGUUUAUAUCUUAUUCUAACU
RNAcentral lists this non-coding RNA (21 nucleotides) under Caenorhabditis elegans. Lineage: Eukaryota; Metazoa; Nematoda; Chromadorea; Rhabditida; Rhabditidae. The record is from RNAcentral.